RNAcentral lists this small RNA (143 nucleotides) under Arabidopsis thaliana (thale cress). Its description in RNAcentral is "ATSL273090". The record is from RNAcentral. Lineage: Eukaryota; Viridiplantae; Streptophyta; Magnoliopsida; Brassicales; Brassicaceae.
CCAAUGCAUCAUCAAAGAACUCAUUUGGCUAAGGGAAAAGGUCAAGAGACAAAGAUGGUCCCUUACAGAAUAGGCUUCAGUAACAGGGGAUCUAUCAAAAAAUGAUUAAGCUUUAGUAGAAUGCUAAAGGUAAGUCUCAAAAA